CCAAAGGCUCUUUUAAGAGCCACCUACGCUUUCUGAAGGAAGUACU
Non-coding RNA from Heterocephalus glaber (naked mole-rat), 46 nucleotides. NCBI's taxonomy places the organism in Eukaryota, Metazoa, Chordata, Mammalia, Rodentia, Bathyergidae. The record is from Rfam.